RNAcentral lists this ribosomal RNA (255 nucleotides) under uncultured bacterium. RNAcentral's name for it is "partial 16S ribosomal RNA". It matches the Rfam family "Bacterial small subunit ribosomal RNA", at positions 524 to 776 of the family's 1533-position model. The record is from RNAcentral.
UACGUAGGGUCCGAGCGUUGUCCGGAAUUAUUGGGCGUAAAGAGCUCGUAGGCGGUGUGUCGCGUCGGCCGUGAAAACCUGCAGCUUAACUGUGGGCUUGCGGUCGAUACGGGCAUCACUGGAGUUCGGCAGGGGAGACUGGAAUUCCUGGUCGUAGCGGUGAAAUGCGCAGAUAUCAGGAGGAACACCGGUGGCGAAGGCGGGUCUCUGGGCCGAUACUGACGCUGAGGAGCGAAAGCGUGGGGAGCGAACAGG